This 418-nucleotide unclassified non-coding RNA is filed under the name Barjonia erecta. Its description in RNAcentral is "partial external transcribed spacer". The record is from RNAcentral. Lineage: Eukaryota; Viridiplantae; Streptophyta; Magnoliopsida; Gentianales; Apocynaceae.
UGCUUCGGGCAGCGACGGCGCGCCUCUCCCGCGAGUCAUCAGUUUCGGCUCGAGUGCGGCACGGCCUCGGCCGAGACCCGGUUGGUUUCUUGUGCUGCGUACCCGCGCGAAGGGCAUCCUUCUCUCGUCGUCCCAACUGUCCCUACGUUCGUCCGCUGCUCCCCCUCCGGGGCGGGGCACGCGACGGAACUCGUGGCCCGGUCCGUUACCCGCGUCGCCUCCGGCUGUCGCGGCGAGCGGGCAGUGCCCGAGCUCUCGGAUGCGGAAAGCACCGCGGGUGCCGACGACGCGCGUCGUCAAAAGCGCCCGAGCAACGCACUCAGACCCCGACCCAGCAAGACGACCGUCGCUCCCGUCGCGGCCCGGCCGCGCGGGAAGGGACGUCGCCGAGGAAUGCUACCUGGUUGAUCCUGCCAGU